Molecule: long non-coding RNA, 1111 nt
Filed under: Mus musculus (house mouse)
Lineage: Eukaryota; Metazoa; Chordata; Mammalia; Rodentia; Muridae
Description: RIKEN cDNA B230206L02 gene
Source: RNAcentral
GUUGAGCACUCCAGUGGCUCUGUAAAAAGGCCAACUCGCUGGAGGACGGAAGGGUGGCCUGAAGACUGAGGAGGGGCAGGUCAGGUGCCCAGUCCAGAGAGGAGGAGUUGAAGAUGACAAGCCGCACCCCACCUCCCCCCAACUCACUUGGGACUGGAUCCACCCUGAGGAGCCUCGGGUCAACAUCCUGUUUCCGGCAAGCCCUCCUGGAGGCCACACAGAGGGGUGUUUGUUCGUAGUGGGCGACGGGAGAGAUGCUAAUCACGUUGGAUAGCUGGUCCCAGCUGAAGGUCAGGAGGUAAGGCGACCCACAGUUAUAAAUAACCGAGCCAGGCUGCUGAGGGCAGCUUGCUGGAUCCGCGCCCCUCUCCGGCCGACCGACCCGGAUUGAUUUCUGACCUCCUGGCUGCCACGGGAACUUGAACCCCAGAGAGCUGAGCGCCAUGACCUUUGGGGGUGGCGCGCAAGGUCAGGCCAGGCCGCCUGGGCUUCCCUGACUCCUAAAUUCAGGCAGAUGCACCUUUGCCACUCUGCAGAGGCCUGAGUUGGAGGUGGUUGUGCAUGGGACUCAACCCCCACCAUCAACACAGGUACCUGUACCUCUGCAUCCCACCCACCAAGCCCUAGUCCUCAGCCUGCUCCAGCUGAAACUGGAAGACCCAGCCUUCAGAGCCUGGCCCGGCCUCCAGACACCUGAUCUGAUGUGGGGUUGAUUCCAGAGCCAUGUGUUCUCUGCUGGAUGGAAACAAGAGUCCCCCGUCUCACUUUGGAAGGCUUAGUGAAGAGAUUCUAGUGGCAACAAUCUGGCUGCUGUUUGUGUGCCUGGGAGGCAGGCACCUCUCCUUGUGUCCUAUGAACAGAAAAGGGAGGAUCCAUCAUUUACCUACCAAGAUAACUACCUUACUUACCAUAAACGUGAACGAUGCAGGCGGCUAGAGGGCUCGCUCGGUAGCUAAAAGUGAUUGCUACACAGGGGCAGCAAUCUGAAUUCAGUCCCCAGGAGCCAUGGAAAGCAGGAAGGAGAUGACCAGCUGCGUGGUUAGCUUCUGACUUCCCCACACGUGCUGUGACCCACACCCACACCAAUAAAUAUAUUUCUACUUUAUGCGUA